CCUACGGGAGGCAGCAGUAAGGAAUAUUGGUAAAUGGACGCAAGUCUGGACCAGCCAUGCCGCGUGAACGAUGAAGGCCCUCUGGGUUGUAAUCUUCUCAUAUCUGGGACGAAAAAAGAGUAUUCUUACUCACUUGACGGUACCAGAGGAUAAGCACCGGCUAACUCCGUGCCAGCGGCCGCGGUAAUACGGAGGGUGCAAGCGUAAUCCGGAUUCACUGGGUUUAAACCGUGCGUAGGUGGAUAUUUAAGUCAGUGGUGAAAUCUCCGAGCUUAACUCGGAAACUGCCAUUGAUACUAUUUAUCUUGAAUGCCCUGGAGGUAGGCGGAAUGUGUAAUGUAGCGGUGAAAUGCUUAGAUAUUACACAGAACACCAAUUGCGUAGGCAGCUUACUACGGGGUGAUUGACGCUGAGGCACGAAAGCGUGGGGAUCGGACAGGAUUAGAUACCCUGGUAGUCCACGCCGUAAACGAUGGAAGCUAGCCGUUGGUAAGCAUGCUUAUCAGUGGCGCAGCUAACGCAUUAAGCUUCCCGCCUGGGGAGUACGGUCGCAAGAUUAAAACUCAAAGGAAUUGACGG
Molecule: ribosomal RNA, 579 nt
Filed under: uncultured bacterium
Lineage: Bacteria
Description: bacterial SSU rRNA
Rfam family: Bacterial small subunit ribosomal RNA
Source: RNAcentral